AGGACGAACACUGGCGGCGUGCCUAACACAUGCAAGUCGAACGCCCUCCAUUCGGUAGCAAUACCGAUGAAGAGGGAGUGGCGAACGGGUGAGUAGCACGUGAGCAACCUGCCCCGAAGACUGGGACAACACCGGGAAACCGGUGCUAAUACCGGAUAUCCCUAUCGGACCGCAUGAUCUGAUAAGGAAAUGGAUUCCGCUUCGGGAGGGGCUCGCGGCCUAUCAGCUUGUUGGUGGGGUAACGGCCUACCAAGGCGACGACGGGUA
This 267-nucleotide ribosomal RNA is filed under the name uncultured bacterium. RNAcentral describes it as "partial small subunit ribosomal RNA". It matches the Rfam family "Bacterial small subunit ribosomal RNA", at positions 26 to 285 of the family's 1533-position model. The record is from RNAcentral.